This 430-nucleotide ribosomal RNA is filed under the name bacterium. RNAcentral's name for it is "partial 16S ribosomal RNA". It matches the Rfam family "Bacterial small subunit ribosomal RNA", at positions 355 to 776 of the family's 1533-position model. The record is from RNAcentral.
UGGGGAAUAUUGGACAAUGGGCGGAAGCCUGAUCCAGCCAUGCCGCUUGUGUGAAGAAGGCCUUUUGGUUGUAAAGCACUUUAAGCGAGGAGGAGGCUACUUGGAUUAAUACUCUAGGAUAGUGGACGUUACUCGCAGAAUAAGCACCGGCUAACGCUGUGCCAGCAGACGCGGUAAUACAGAGGGUGCGAGCGUGAAUCGGAUUUACUGGGCGUAAAGCGUGCGUAGGCGGCUUCUUAAGUCGGAUGUGAAAUCCCUGAGCUUAACUUAGGAAUUGCAUUCGAUACUGGGAAGCUAGAGUAUGGGAGAGGAUGGUAGAAUUCCAGGUGUAGCGGUGAAAUGCGUAGAGAUCUGGAGGAAUACCGAUGGCGAAGGCAGCCAUCUGGCCUAAUACUGACGCUGAGGUACGAAAGCAUGGGGAGCAAACAAG